This 482-nucleotide ribosomal RNA is filed under the name uncultured bacterium. Its description in RNAcentral is "partial 16S ribosomal RNA". It matches the Rfam family "Bacterial small subunit ribosomal RNA", at positions 30 to 507 of the family's 1533-position model. The record is from RNAcentral.
AUUGAACGCUGGCGGCAUGCUUUACACAUGCAAGUCGAACGGUAACAGGCCGCAAGGUGCUGACGAGUGGCGAACGGGUGAGUAAUGCAUCGGAACGUGCCCAGUCGUGGGGGAUAACUACUCGAAAGAGUAGCUAAUACCGCAUACGAUCUAUGGAUGAAAGCGGGGGACCGUAAGGCCUCGCGCGAUUGGAGCGGCCGAUGUCAGAUUAGGUAGUUGGUGGGGUAAAGGCUCACCAAGCCAACGAUCUGUAGCUGGUCUGAGAGGACGACCAGCCACACUGGGACUGAGACACGGCCCAGACUCCUACGGGAGGCAGCAGUGGGGAAUUUUGGACAAAGGGCGCAAGCCUGAUCCAGCAAUGCCGCGUGCAGGAAGAAGGCCUUCGGGUUGUAAACUGCUUUUGUACGGAACGAAACGGCUCUGGUUAAUACCCGGGGAUAAUGACGGUACCGUAAGAAUAAGCACCGGCUAACUACGUG